RNAcentral lists this ribosomal RNA (460 nucleotides) under uncultured bacterium. RNAcentral describes it as "partial 16S ribosomal RNA". It matches the Rfam family "Bacterial small subunit ribosomal RNA", at positions 338 to 795 of the family's 1533-position model. The record is from RNAcentral.
CCUACGGGUGGCAGCAGUGAGGAAUAUUGGUCAAUGGGCGAGAGUCUGAACCAGCCAAGUCGCGUGAGGGAUGACGGCCCUAUGGAUUGUAAACUUCUUUUAUCUGGGAGUAAAAUAUUCCACGUGUGGGGUUUUGUAUGUACCCUAUGAAUAAGGAUCGGCUAACUCCGUGCCAGCAGCCGCGGUAAUACGGAGGAUCCGAGCGUUAUCCGGAUUUAUUGGGUUUAAAGGGAGCGUAGGUGGAUAGUUAAGUCAGUUGUGAAAGUUUGCGGCUCAACCGUAAAAUUGCAGUUGAAACUGGUAGUCUUGAGUACAGUAGAGGUGGGCGGAAUUCGUGGUGUAGCGGUGAAAUGCUUAGAUAUCACGAAGAACUCUGAUUGCGAAGGCAGCUCACUGGCCUGCAACUGACACUGAGGCUCGAAAGUGUGGGUAUCAAACAGGAUUAGAUACCCGUGUAGUC